This 397-nucleotide ribosomal RNA is filed under the name uncultured bacterium. Its description in RNAcentral is "bacterial SSU rRNA". It matches the Rfam family "Bacterial small subunit ribosomal RNA", at positions 29 to 415 of the family's 1533-position model. The record is from RNAcentral.
AACGAACGCUGGCGGCGCGCCUAAUACAUGCAAGUCGAGCGAGAAGACGUAGCAAUACGUUUGUAAAGCGGCGAACGGGUGAGGAAUACAUGGGUAACCUACCCUCGAGUGGGGAAUAACUAGCCGAAAGGUUAGCUAAUACCGCGUACGCUCCUUGGACUUCGGUUCAGGGAGGAAAGCGAUACCGUGGGUAUCGCGCUCUUGGAUGGGCUCAUGUCCUAUCAGCUUGUUGGUGAGGUAACGGCUCACCAAGGCUUCGACGGGUAGCUGGUCUGAGAGGACAAUCAGCCACACUGGCACUGCGACACGGGCCAGACUCCUACGGGAGGCAGCAGUAAGGAAUAUUGCGCAAUGGGCGAAAGCCUGACGCAGCGACGCCGCGUGGGGGAGUGAAGGU